UACGGGGGGAGCAAGCGUUGUUCGGAUUUACUGGGCGUAAAGAGCGCGCAGGCGGUCGUUCAAGUCGAGUGUGAAAGCCCCCGGCUCAACUGGGGAGGGUCAUUCGAUACUGAUCGACUUGAAGGCAGGAGAGGGAAGCGGAAUUCCCGGUGUAGUGGUGAAAUGCGUAGAUAUCGGGAGGAACACCAGUGGCGAAGGCGGCUUCCUGGCCUGUUCUUGACGCUGAGGCGCGAAAGCUAGGGGAGCAAACGGG
RNAcentral lists this ribosomal RNA (253 nucleotides) under uncultured bacterium. Its description in RNAcentral is "partial 16S ribosomal RNA". It matches the Rfam family "Bacterial small subunit ribosomal RNA", at positions 524 to 776 of the family's 1533-position model. The record is from RNAcentral.